GCUCUAGUAGCUUAACCAUAAAGCGCCGGUCUU
This 33-nucleotide transfer RNA is filed under the name Pylodictis olivaris. Its description in RNAcentral is "partial tRNA-Thr". The record is from RNAcentral. Lineage: Eukaryota; Metazoa; Chordata; Actinopteri; Siluriformes; Ictaluridae.